Molecule: long non-coding RNA, 493 nt
Organism: Pteropus alecto (black flying fox)
Lineage: Eukaryota; Metazoa; Chordata; Mammalia; Chiroptera; Pteropodidae
Exons: 3
Source: RefSeq, a predicted model, not a curated record
GUGCCAGAAAUUUCAUCACACCAGGCAGAGGGAUGGGCUAGGGGUGAGUCACAAAUGUGCUGGGCCAUGGAGGUAGGAGCUAACCAUUCCCAGAUGGGAGAAUCGGGCCCGGCAGCUUUCCUGGAAUAAGCAGUGUCAACGUAAGAAAGUCUAAACCUGUAGAGAAUUUUUUGUAAAACUUUGAGCCCAAAAGAGGAUACACCUGGAAGCAAAAGGCUAAGAUCUCAAAGACUUCAGAGAAUAACAGUUUGUAGUUUCUUUCAUACAUUUGAAAUUAAGGAGGGAACAAAAGGAAGAUUGAAGAUUACAUGGAGAUGGAAGAAAGCAAGGUUCGGACUAGGUAUGAUGGCUCCACGAUGCUCAGGGACUCCUUCUGCCCAAGUGUGACAUCUACCUGGUAUACAAGAUGGCUGAUCCAGCUCCAUGUCCACCACUAGGCCCUGCUGAGACCCCGCCCCGGAGGCGGAGGCAGGGGAAGGGGCCCAGAGCCGCC